UACAGAGGUCUCAAGCGUUGUUCGGAUUCAUUGGGCGUAAAGGGUGCGUAGGCGGCGCGGUAAGUCGGGUGUGAAAUCUCGGAGCUUAACUCCGAAACUGCAUUCGAUACUGCCGUGCUUGAGGACUGGAGAGGAGACUGGAAUUUACGGUGUAGCGGUGAAAUGCAUAGAUAUCGGGAAGAACACCAACGGCGAAAGCACUCUGCUGGGCCGACACUGACACUGAGAGACGAAAGCUAGGGGAGCGAAUGGG
This 253-nucleotide ribosomal RNA is filed under the name uncultured bacterium. RNAcentral's name for it is "partial 16S ribosomal RNA". It matches the Rfam family "Bacterial small subunit ribosomal RNA", at positions 524 to 776 of the family's 1533-position model. The record is from RNAcentral.